Molecule: long non-coding RNA, 580 nt
Organism: Monopterus albus (swamp eel)
Lineage: Eukaryota; Metazoa; Chordata; Actinopteri; Synbranchiformes; Synbranchidae
Exons: 3
Source: RefSeq, a predicted model, not a curated record
GAAGCACUAACUCACCAAAUGAUCCUCCUCACUUGGUGAACUUUGACCUUGGCACUGACUGUCCUGCGGGCACAGCCUGUUUCAACCCUCUUCAUCAGUUUGACCACAUUGGCACAAAGAAGCUGGAUCAGAGUGCCGUGGUCGACUGGGCAUGGGACUGGCCAAGGCUGCUGCCAGCCUAUCAGGGCAUGAGUCAGGUCACCUUCAAAACUCUACUGGCCAACAGGUGGGAGCUGCAGGAAGGAGCAGAGCUGGAAGAUGGAGAGAAAGCAAUGGUAGAAGAACUUCAGAAAGCCUAUUUUGCUUGCUGCUGCAGCCCGGGACAACAGGACCCUCCUGAAGCUGAUGAGACACUAGCAGAGCAGACCCAGGGGGAAACACAGCCAUUCAAUAAAAAUGCUGCCCAAUAACAGUUCAUGCUGUUGGAAUUUUUAUCAUGUUGUAAAUGCUUGCUUGUAAUAUGUACUUGCAGCUCUCUUGGUAGUAGAAUUUUUUAUGGGUGUGUAGGUGUGUGUGUGUGCACAUUUGUGGGUCUGAGUUGGUUUGUGCAUGUACUAUAUGCACUGAGUUUGCUUGUGUG